This 253-nucleotide ribosomal RNA is filed under the name uncultured bacterium. Its description in RNAcentral is "partial 16S ribosomal RNA". It matches the Rfam family "Bacterial small subunit ribosomal RNA", at positions 524 to 776 of the family's 1533-position model. The record is from RNAcentral.
UACGUAGGGUCCGAGCGUUGUCCGGAAUCAUUGGGCGUAAAGAGCGUGUAGGCGGCUACUUAAGUCCUGCGUGAAAUCUUGCGGCUCAACCGCAAGCGGUCGUGGGAAACUGGGUGGCUAGAGUGCGGGAGAGGAGAGUGGAAUUCCUGGUGUAGCGGUGGAAUGCGCAGAUAUCAGGAAGAACACCCGUGGCGAAGGCGGCUCUCUGGAACGCAACUGACGCUGAGACGCGAAAGCGUGGGGAGCAAACAGG